RNAcentral lists this ribosomal RNA (360 nucleotides) under uncultured bacterium. Its description in RNAcentral is "bacterial SSU rRNA". It matches the Rfam family "Bacterial small subunit ribosomal RNA", at positions 29 to 372 of the family's 1533-position model. The record is from RNAcentral.
AACGAACGCUGGCGGCGUGCCUAACACAUGCAAGUCGUGCGAGAAAGUUCCUUCGGGAGCGAGUAAAGCGGCGCACGGGUGAGUAACACGUAGGUAACCUGCCCCCCAGUCUGGAACAACUAGAGGAAACUCUAGCUAAUGCCGGAUGAGACCACGAUCCCUUCGGGGUUGGCGGCCAAAGAUGGCCUCUACUUGUAAGCUAUCGCUGAGGGAUGGGCCUGCGGGCCAUUAGCUUGUUGGUGAGGUAACGGCUCACCAAGGCUGUGAUGGCUAGCUGGUCUGAGAGGAUGACCAGCCACACUGGGACUGAGACACGGCCCAGACUCCUACGGGAGGCAGCAGUGGGGAAUAUUGCGCAAU